RNAcentral lists this non-coding RNA (39 nucleotides) under Schistosoma margrebowiei. The record is from RNAcentral. Lineage: Eukaryota; Metazoa; Platyhelminthes; Trematoda; Strigeidida; Schistosomatidae.
AUCCAGCUGACGAGUCCUAGAAUAGGACGAGACAUGCAU